AAGAUCAUACUUCACAGGAUCAUUUCUGUAGUAUAUCUUCACAUACUCUACACUCAAACGUAGAGUUGACGCAACCACGAUGAUGAGUUACAGCUCUAACUCCUGAGCGUGAGGCAGACUGCUCUGGAUAUUUGUCAAUAUCCUGAGUCAUGUCAUCGAUGAUCGUUCACUUGUUCUAUUUAUGGAGCAAGCAUGGGGUAGGAGCAGUCCGAGUGGU
Small nucleolar RNA from Tribolium madens (black flour beetle), 217 nucleotides. RefSeq annotates it as small nucleolar RNA U3. The transcript has a single exon. The record is from RefSeq and is a predicted model, not a curated record. Lineage: Eukaryota; Metazoa; Arthropoda; Insecta; Coleoptera; Tenebrionidae.